ACUUCAUCUUUCAAGUGGACACAGUAAUCGUGCCUUUCAUUUUUAUUGCUUUGCCUGCAAACUUAAUCAUAUUUGUUAACUUCUAUGUGCCUCAGUCUCAACAUCUGUGAGUUGGGGAUAAUAAUCACCACGUUGUUGAAAGAAUUGAUGAGAAAAAGCAGGGGUGUUUGUGGAAACAAAAACUGCAUUAGAGGAGAUAAUUCUCAGCUCAAGCCAGCCUUGGACUGGAGGGAUCUCUUCAGCUCUGCACUCAAGGGAGAUAAAAGAGCAUAAUUGUAAAUGCACAGCAGUUCAUCUCAAGAUCUAUUCAACUGUAUGAAAACCAUAUAACCUCAGAUAUAUUCCCCAAUCUUCUACACCCUUAUCUGUGCCCUUUUAUGGACCACAUCAAUGGGCUGCCUUGCCCUUUGGCUUCUGGUAGGAUUUAGCCAAUAAAAGGUAUGAAGAGGAAAUUAGAGGAGAAAAGAAAUAAAGGAAGGCCACGUGAGAACAUAGUGAGAGGGAGCUGUCUAUAAGCCAGGACACCUUCACUAGACACCGAAUUUGCUGACACCUUGAUCUUGGACUUUCCAGCCUCCAGGAUGGAGUAUUUGGGGAGUGGGGAGUGAGAAAAAUCAACUGAGUCUCCACCUGACACAAUUUAUUGGUAAUGCCCUUGAAUAGUACUCCAGUAAAUAAGACAGGCAUUUGGAGAACCAGAGGGAAAUCUUGACAGUCAAGAAGGUCAUUAGGAGUCGGCAGUACAAUUUUAUAGUUCAGUGAUGUAAACCAUUACUCUUUUCAAGCAUUCGAAAGAUCAUGCCAGCCUCCAUUGGACUGCCAUUGAAAAGGAUCUUCUGUUACAUUUCUUUAAAUUGGACACCAAGAGCAGAGGUUACGUGAUUAUAUCCUUUAAGUGCAGAAUUUAAAGCAAUGAAUCACUGUGAUUACUUUAUCAUGGAUGAAGCCAAGAAAAGUACUGGGCUAAGCACUGUGAUGGAUACAAUGAAUAGGGAGCGCACAUUUAAUUUGGAAGAUUGCAGAUGAAAAGAUAAAUAACAAGUAACAAGACUUGAAAUGGGUUGCUGCUCUACCACGAGCAGUGUGACACUGGCCAAACACUGAACAUUGAUGAACCCGAACUUACCAGGUUAAGUGACUUAACUAGCGACACACACACACAAGACUUGUUAAGAUACACUGGUGCCAUAUAAAGUGGGGUGUAAUCUGGAGAUACAUCUUUGUUUUUGUUUGUUUUUAGUACUGAUAUUUAAGAAAAAGAUGGAAAGAGAGGAAGAAAGACUGAAGAAAAGAAAACGAAGCUUGAGGCAGACAUAGACAUGUUUGUAAGAGGACAGAGAGUUAAUAAAGAAAGGUCAUGUUGGUGGCUCAUACUCUUCUCUCUUAGAAAUAAAAGUCAAGAUUAUCUCUAAGUGUGCAGGAGAACAAAGUAAAGUGCAUGACAGAUGGAAAGAUCAGGAUAGUUGUUGAAAUAAAUCAGAGAGCAGCUGUUAAAGUGUAAUUGCCUCCGAUUUUAAACUCUAACAGGUGUAAGAAAGUAGAAGGCAAUUUUUAAUGGUUUUUGAUUUGCAGAGAGAUUUUUAAGGGAUGACGUACAAAGCCAGGGAAGCAAAGGACCUGAGGCUAUUAGCUAAAGGACACCUGAAGUGAAAAGAAUGUUGAGAAAAGGAAGGAAUACCUUAAAGUAAGUCCAGGAAUAGAAGAUGAAGUUGGAUGUCAAGGGACUGAAGGCCCAACAAGAUCAAAGAACAAGAGUGUAGGGAAUGCUGGUAAGGUUUUCUGAAAAGAAAUGAUGCUUCUAAUCCAUUUCAGGUGAGGGCAAUGUUCAGGAUUGGGCUGUGGAGGUAAGUCCCUGGACAAAUAUGAGGAGAGACGUCGACAUAGAGGAAUAAGAAGCCACGAGAGUUGAAAUAUUUGGGGUGAUUGAUAUAGUGACAUCACAUAGGAAAAUAGAAGGUGAAAGGAUGGAUGACUCUAACAUAGGAAUGGUUGUCCUCAAUAAAUGCCUGAAAUGUGAAUGAAAAUUUCCAUGUUUAUACUUAUGUAAAUGUAUGUAACUUUACAUAAAUGUAAAUGAAAAGUAAAUGAUAGAAAGGAUACAGACUGCAUAGCAAAUGGUUCUACUCUCAUGUUGAAAAGUUUCUGUGUGAGUUUGAAAGUCUUGGAGAAUGACAAGACUCCCAGUGUUGAAAAAAAGUGAGAAGCCCCGGGGAAUGAGGCUUACCACUGAGCUGACCUACAAAGGAAAUAAUAUUCCCAGGAAAUAACCAGAUUUCUGAUUAUUCCCGGAAACAAUCAUGCUUCUAUGAUAAAAUACAGAUAAUAUAAACUUCUAUACAGUAAUAUACUCAAAGGUACAAUUUAUAAUUCUGAAAAUGUUGUUUCUGGUCAUAGACAAUAAAAAAUUACAGAACCUGGUAUACAACUUGUUAGCUCAGGAGUUCAAAUAAGUAUUGAAUUAUGCUGAAUCAUCCUGCCUAAACAUUAAUUACAUUAACUUAAUGACAUUAACAUUUGCCUCUUUUUAUUCCCCCCUUUGUCUAAUUGAGACAUUUGUUACAUGAACUAAAUUAAUUCUUGAUAUAAUAGGUUUCUUUGCAUCAUGGUCUUUGUCAAACAAUUUUGCCUUCUAUUGUCCAUCAAGUUUUUACAUCUGGAUUUGAAAUGUACAUUAGUAUGAUAAAAUGGUUUCCCUGUCAUUUUCCCAUGAGCUGUUUCUCAUUUAGUUAAAUACCUCUUCAGGGGGCCGAGACUCCAUUGAUUUCAAAGUGAGAUCAGCAUGCUGAUGAGAUUUUUAGACCAUAUUGAAUAACGAGAAAAUGGACUCUUCAUUGGUCUUCCCCCAAGAGGAAUUCAGCAGAGCUACAGAAAGAAAACACCAAUGAAAAAAUAUAGAGACCAAGGGACAGCAGGUAGAAGAAUUAGUCAUGGUUGCUCUAAAGUAUAAAAUUUUACUUCCAAUAUACUGCCAAAAAUACUGAAUGAUUUAAUAGAACAUGUUAGUCUAGCUUUUACAAAGAAUGGAUUUCUGAGAUUUUCUUUCUUUCAUGGCCCUGUGUUUUCUUGACCUUUUUUACCUGGUUCCAGUUUCCUUAGAUACUUGCUGGGGAUAGCA
Molecule: long non-coding RNA, 3115 nt
Organism: Canis lupus familiaris (dog)
Lineage: Eukaryota; Metazoa; Chordata; Mammalia; Carnivora; Canidae
Exons: 8
Source: RefSeq, a predicted model, not a curated record